CGAAACGACUAGGAGGGUCGUUACAAGUAUGUAGCAAAGAAGAAAAGGGUUGAAGGUUUUUCAUUAUGAGGUUAAAUUAUCCUUGCGUCCACUAGAGGUUGAUCCCGCAUGUUGUUGGAUAGUGAAACUUCAAGAUUUCUUCCUCGCCACUGAGCCAACCACCUGCUUGGUUGUGGAUUCUGAUCAUAGAAAACAUAUUUGUCUUAAUAUAAUUUUCAACAAAAUUACAGGUUCUACUAUAGCAGGUGUGGGUUUCAAGAACCUCUAUUAGGGGUUAGGAUCCUCAAUGAAAUUUGCAAAACCGAAGUACGAUACCACAGAUUUUUAUCAAAGGCAGAAGCAGUAAAAAUGACUUAAGGGAACUGAGUUGCAGCUUUAAUGGUGUCAUUGGAAGACGCGACAAGGUCUUUUACCCUUUGUAUUAUGGGUAAUGAAGCAUUGCAGAAGGAAAGGAGAUGGUAACUGAGUUGGACGAGUCACAUGAAAAUGAAGGUUGAGUUGAUUCAGUGUAGAGGACUGCACCGAAAGGAAGAAGAUGAAGGUAACAAUGACUUUAUUUGUUAUUGGGUGUCCCAUUUUGCAUAUAUUUAAUUUAUGGUGUAUGAUUUGUAGAACA
Long non-coding RNA from Capsicum annuum, 616 nucleotides. RefSeq lists it as uncharacterized. Lineage: Eukaryota; Viridiplantae; Streptophyta; Magnoliopsida; Solanales; Solanaceae. The record is from RefSeq and is a predicted model, not a curated record. The transcript has 3 exons.